This 1091-nucleotide long non-coding RNA is filed under the name Toxoplasma gondii VEG. The record is from RNAcentral. Lineage: Eukaryota; Apicomplexa; Conoidasida; Eucoccidiorida; Sarcocystidae.
GCAGGGGUGCGGCAAGCACAUCGACUCUGUCAUGAAGCCCAUACCGGUACAGGAGCAGUGCGCGUGCAAGCCGCGAUCCCAGGAUGAGUUCGAUAAAUGCCGGUAAUCUCAAUAGGGUGGAUGCCUAAAGAGCGUCUCGUAGCUGGAGAAUCAGCUGGCAUGCUCGCAGUGAGACUUCAUUUCUUCGGUGUGUCGGAAUGGGAAAGUCAAAGAAAGGGACGUCACAAGAUCAUCCAGAAGGAACGGGCAGGCUGGCAAGCGACGCCAUAUUUCAGAAAAGGCGGCAGUUGAAUAUGACAGUAUGUGCCUUGUCUAUCGAAAAUGCGCAUAUCUAAAGUGGCGGAAUAAACAAUCUAUGCAUGCGGCAUAUAAGGCAGGUCCACACCUCCACUGCACCUGUAACCGCCUAUUUCAUUGUACGCGCAGAUUUUCUAGAACGGCUCUCAGGGGAUGCUAGAGAAGAUGUGAGUGGUGUGGCUACUGCUAUGGCCUUGUUGUGUGUGUCCAUCCGAUGAACCUGUGAGAGAAACUUUGUUGGAAGGACACCCACGGGACAGCAGCGUGGAGUUUACAGUCCGCAACAACGGAGCGAAAGUGUAUCUGUCAGUCAGGGGAAGAUCCGUUGUCGGAGACGUGCCUACAGAAGCUGUAUCGUCAAAGAUAGUAGACGGCAAGGGUAUACAGAUCUGAAACAGUUUCCGUCGUGGUUCAUUAUCAGUGGACGCCGAUGCCGCUGCCAACGGUUUGUAACAUGUGUGAAAGCCGAUGAUUUGCGCAUUGUGGACCGUCGCGCCUAGCAAACUCUUCCAGGUUAAACUGCCACGCACCGAUGAAAGGUUUACGGCUGAUUUUUACAUCCUUUUUUCACGGCGAAGUCCUGUGCAUGGGCUGCAUUCAUCCCCAGAAAUGCAUUUGGUUUGCCCUUCCAAUCUAGUCAAAACCGGUUUUUCCCAGUGUGGCCGUCUCCACCACUCCCGCCGGCGUGUUAUUUUUUUCAUUUCAAGAGCUUCUCGAGUUUUCUUCUCUGCGUUUCUAAAACUCUCCAAAAUGUGUUACGAAGUAAAAUGUACACACUGUGGAAAGCGGACGUG